Molecule: ribosomal RNA, 460 nt
Filed under: uncultured bacterium
Lineage: Bacteria
Description: partial 16S ribosomal RNA
Rfam family: Bacterial small subunit ribosomal RNA
Source: RNAcentral
CCUACGGGUGGCAGCAGUGAGGAAUAUUGGUCAAUGGGCGCGAGCCUGAACCAGCCAAGUCGCGUGAGGGAUGAAGGUUCUAUGGAUCGUAAACCUCUUUUAUAAGGGAAUAAAGUGUGGGACGUGUCCUAUUUUGUAUGUACCUUAUGAAUAAGGAUCGGCUAACUCCGUGCCAGCAGCCGCGGUAAUACGGAGGAUCCGAGCGUUAUCCGGAUUUAUUGGGUUUAAAGGGUGCGUAGGCGGCCUUUUAAGUCAGCGGUGAAAGUUUGUGGCUCAACCAUAGAAUUGCCGUUGAAACUGGGGGUCUUGAGUAUAGUUGAGGCAGGCGGAAUGCGUGGUGUAGCGGUGAAAUGCUUAGAUAUCACGCAGAACCCCGAUUGCGAAGGCAGCUUGCUAAGCCAUGACUGACGCUGAGGCACGAAAGCGUGGGUAUCAAACAGGAUUAGAUACCCCUGUAGUC